Molecule: ribosomal RNA, 235 nt
Filed under: uncultured bacterium
Lineage: Bacteria
Description: partial 16S ribosomal RNA
Rfam family: Bacterial small subunit ribosomal RNA
Source: RNAcentral
CGCACGGGUGAGUAACACGUAUCCAACCUGCCGUCUACUCUUGGACAGCCUUCUGAAAGGAAGAUUAAUACAAGAUGGCAUCAUGAGUCCGCAUGUUCACAUGAUUAAGGGUAUUCCGGUGGACGAUGGGGAUGCGUUCCAUUAGAUAGUAGGCGGGGUAACGGCCCACCUAGUCUUCGAUGGAUAGGGGUUCUGAGAGGAAGGUCCCCCACAUUGGAACUGAGACACGGUCCAA